UCCCAUUAAAAGCCGCAUUGUGAAUAAGAAAACGGUGAGGAAGAUCUAGUCCCUCUUCAAUAAAUACUAAUUUCAUAUUUGAGUGUCUUCAUUAUGGAUAAACACAAGACAGCAAGGAAUCAUGAACUCUACUUUAAAUCACAAAUCUGGUACGCAAAUUGCUUCCGCAUUAUUAAUAGUUGGUGCUCUAAAUUUAUGUACUAGAUCUAUUAAUUUCUUACAAUUUGUUGCACAGUUUAUGGAAUUUGGAUAUUCCUGUUUAGGUAAAAGAACUUUUGUGGAGGGCUUUUAAUGAAAAUUUUAUGCAUAAAGGUUAAUCUUGUUUUAUAAGAAGAUUUAGACGACAAUUUCCUUUUUACCGGACAGUUUAUAGCUUCAUGUGAUGCUUCUUUGGUUGAAGCAAUAGCGCUUCAAUCUUGUUUACAGUGGAUUGAGUCUCAUUUAUUUGAUCCAGUUGUGUUUUUAUUGACUCCUAAAUUAUUGUUCAUGCUUUGUGUUCUUUGAUGGA
Non-coding RNA from Jatropha curcas, 508 nucleotides. The record is from RefSeq and is a predicted model, not a curated record. Lineage: Eukaryota; Viridiplantae; Streptophyta; Magnoliopsida; Malpighiales; Euphorbiaceae.